UACGGGGGGAGCAAGCGUUGUUCGGAUUUACUGGGCGUAAAGGGCGCGUAGGCGGCCACCGCAAGUCGACUGUGAAAUCUCCGGGCUUAACCCGGAAAGGUCAACCGAUACUGCAGGGCUAGAGUGCAGAAGGGGCAACUGGAAUUCUCGGUGUAGCGGUGAAAUGCGUAGAUAUCGAGAGGAACACCUGCGGCGAAGGCGGGUUGCUGGGCUGACACUGACGCUGAUGCGCGAAAGCUAGGGGAGCGAACGGG
This 254-nucleotide ribosomal RNA is filed under the name uncultured bacterium. Its description in RNAcentral is "partial 16S ribosomal RNA". It matches the Rfam family "Bacterial small subunit ribosomal RNA", at positions 524 to 776 of the family's 1533-position model. The record is from RNAcentral.